CUCAGGGGAGGGGGAUCCCUCAGCCCAGAUUGCAAGAGGGCGCAGGCCAGGCCAAGGGACCCCACCAGUGCAGG
RNAcentral lists this microRNA precursor (74 nucleotides) under Myotis davidii. RNAcentral describes it as "mir-9193 microRNA precursor family". It matches the Rfam family "mir-9193 microRNA precursor family". The record is from Rfam by way of RNAcentral. Lineage: Eukaryota; Metazoa; Chordata; Mammalia; Chiroptera; Vespertilionidae.